CUUUAUUAAUUUCUUAUAUAUAAUUUAUAUUAAAUAUAAAAAUAUAUUUUUUAAAUAAAAAGACGAUAAGACCCUAUUAAAUUUUACUUAUAGUUUAACUGGGGAAGUUUUAAAAAUAAAAUUUUUUAUAAAAAUAAAAAUAAAUCUAAUAAAAUUAAAAUUAAAUUAAAUUACUAUAGGGAUAACAGCAUUAUAUUUUUUAAAAGUUCAUAUUAAAAAAAAUGAUUGUGACCUCGAUGUUGAAUUAUAUUUUCUUUAUUAAUGCAAUAAUUAUAAAAGUAGAUCUGUUCGAUCUUUAAAAUAUUACAUGAUUUGAGUUCAAACCGGWGUAAACCAGGKKGGUUUCUAUCUUUUUAUAAAUUCAUAUAUAUAUAUAUAUAUAUAUACAUAUAAAUUUUUCAAGUACGAAAGGAAAAAAAAAUUUUUAUUUUAAUUAAUUAGCAAUUAAUAUGCAUUAGAUUUAGAAUCUAAAUAAACUAUU
This 481-nucleotide unclassified non-coding RNA is filed under the name Anelosimus eximius. Its description in RNAcentral is "partial contains tRNA-Leu and 16S ribosomal RNA". The stretch from base 181 to 340 matches the Rfam family "Eukaryotic large subunit ribosomal RNA", at positions 2825 to 2984 of the family's 3401-position model. The record is from RNAcentral. Lineage: Eukaryota; Metazoa; Arthropoda; Arachnida; Araneae; Theridiidae.